This 581-nucleotide ribosomal RNA is filed under the name Enterobacter sp. Its description in RNAcentral is "bacterial SSU rRNA". It matches the Rfam family "Bacterial small subunit ribosomal RNA", at positions 847 to 1428 of the family's 1533-position model. Lineage: Bacteria; Pseudomonadati; Pseudomonadota; Gammaproteobacteria; Enterobacterales; Enterobacteriaceae. The record is from RNAcentral.
CGGAGCUAACGCGUUAAGUCGACCGCCUGGGGAGUACGGCCGCAAGGUUAAAACUCAAAUGAAUUGACGGGGGCCCGCACAAGCGGUGGAGCAUGUGGUUUAAUUCGAUGCAACGCGAAGAACCUUACCUACUCUUGACAUCCAGAGAACUUACCAGAGAUGCUUUGGUGCCUUCGGGAACUCUGAGACAGGUGCUGCAUGGCUGUCGUCAGCUCGUGUUGUGAAAUGUUGGGUUAAGUCCCGCAACGAGCGCAACCCUUAUCCUUUGUUGCCAGCGGUYAGGCCGGGAACUCAAAGGAGACUGCCAGUGAUAAACUGGAGGAAGGUGGGGAUGACGUCAAGUCAUCAUGGCCCUUACGAGUAGGGCUACACACGUGCUACAAUGGCGCAUACAAAGAGAAGCGACCUCGCGAGAGCAAGCGGACCUCAUAAAGUGCGUCGUAGUCCGGAUUGGAGUCUGCAACUCGACUCCAUGAAGUCGGAAUCGCUAGUAAUCGUAGAUCAGAAUGCUACGGUGAAUACGUUCCCGGGCCUUGUACACACCGCCCGUCACACCAUGGGAGUGGGUUGCAAAAGAAGUA